RNAcentral lists this ribosomal RNA (165 nucleotides) under uncultured bacterium. RNAcentral describes it as "partial 16S rRNA". It matches the Rfam family "Bacterial small subunit ribosomal RNA", at positions 355 to 511 of the family's 1533-position model. The record is from RNAcentral.
UAGGGAAUCUUCCACAAUGGACGCAAGUCUGAUGGAGCAACGCCGCGUGAGUGAAGAAGGUUUUCGGAUCGUAAAGCUCUGUUGUUAGGUGAAGAAGGAUAGAGGUAGUAACUGGCCUUUAUUUGACGGUAAUCAACCAGAAAGUCACGGCUAACUACGUGCCAG